UUCACGGCUAUUGUUUGUUGAGAGAGAUAGAACAAUUCACGGCUAUUGUUUGUUGAGAGAGAGAGAGAACAAUCCACGGCUCAUUCUUGCAAGAGUAGCUGACCGAUAAUUGCACUCCAUGGCUUUUUCUUCAAACCAAGAGAUUAUCCCUUAUAGGAGGCCCGACACAAUCGAUGUAAAGUCCCAGAUCAGUACGUACUACAAAACCAUGUACUUGACUCGAGUAGAGGAGCGACUAAAAGUGAUUGGGGGUGAUCUACUGGCGAAGGUCUUGUGAGCAGGUGUAAGCAAUCACCAAUGAAACCACACCUUCACGCGACCAAGAGAAUUCUGAAGUAUAUUAGCAAUACCACAGAUCUUGGUCUGUUAUAUGGAAAAAGGUGCAUAUAUAUAUAUGUCAUUAUUUGGUUAUACGGAUGCUGAUUUCGGAGGAGAUUUGGAUGAUCGAAGGUCUACAUCAGGUUAUGCUUUCUUUUGUGGUCCUACAUGUAUCUCCUGGUGCAGCAAGAGCAAAAUUCAAUUUCACUCUCAACUACAGAACUUGAAUAUAAGGCAUCUUCUCUAGCAGCUCAAAAAUGUGUUUGGUUGUGAAGACUCUUCAGUGAUGUUCACACGCAGAUUCUUAAACCCACGACACUAUAUGGAGACAAUCAGAGUGCUAUAAAGCUUGCAUCGAAUCCCGUUUUUCACGCAAGAACAAAGCAUAUUGAACUCGAGCAUCACUUCAUACGUGAAAAGGUUCUUAUGGGGUAAUAUUUG
Molecule: long non-coding RNA, 759 nt
Organism: Salvia miltiorrhiza (redroot sage)
Lineage: Eukaryota; Viridiplantae; Streptophyta; Magnoliopsida; Lamiales; Lamiaceae
Exons: 3
Source: RefSeq, a predicted model, not a curated record